CCUACGGGCGGCAGCAGUGGGGAAUAUUGGACAAUGGGGGGAACCCUGAUCCAGCCAUGCCGCGUGUGUGAAGAAGGCCCUCGGGUUAUAAAGCACUUUCAGUGAGGAAGAACGCCUGGUGGUUAAUACCCAUCAGGAAAGACAUCACUCACAGAAGAAGCACCGGCUAACUCCGUGCCAGCAGCCGCGGUAAUACGGAGGGUGCGAGCGUUAAUCGGAAUUACUGGGCGUAAAGCGCGCGUAGGUGGCUUGAUAAGCCGGUUGUGAAAGCCCCGGGCUCAACCUGGGAACGGCAUCCGGAACUGUCAAGCUAGAGUGCAGGAGAGGAAGGUAGAAUUCCCGGUGUAGCGGUGAAAUGCGUAGAGAUCGGGAGGAAUACCAGUGGCGAAGGCGGCCUUCUGGACUGACACUGACACUGAGGUGCGAAAGCGUGGGUAGCAAACAGGAUUAGAUACCCCAGUAGUC
RNAcentral lists this ribosomal RNA (465 nucleotides) under Vreelandella stevensii. RNAcentral describes it as "partial 16S ribosomal RNA". It matches the Rfam family "Bacterial small subunit ribosomal RNA", at positions 338 to 795 of the family's 1533-position model. The record is from RNAcentral. Lineage: Bacteria; Pseudomonadati; Pseudomonadota; Gammaproteobacteria; Oceanospirillales; Halomonadaceae.